This is a small nucleolar RNA of Rattus norvegicus (Norway rat), 131 nucleotides long. Ensembl annotates it as small nucleolar RNA SNORA17. The record is from Ensembl. NCBI's taxonomy places the organism in Eukaryota, Metazoa, Chordata, Mammalia, Rodentia, Muridae.
AAAGCCCACGAGGUGUUGCGUGUGUGGCUGCUAUGUCACAUGUACACCAGUAGGUGGCAGAGAGGAGAGAGGCUAUGUUUACAUUCAAUGUUCUGACCUAUGAAGAUCUAAAUGAUUAGUAGCCUAACAAU